GACGCUCACGAGAAGCCUUUGUGGCCCCGCAAGGGGUACCCGCCGCGACUGUAAACAAUGGAUGUGGGUAUUAAAUCGCAAGUCAACUGGUAAAUCCGGUCGGCUACACUUUCGAAUUGCGGGGAAACCCUAAAGCCCGCCUCUACCAACCAGCCGGGGAAAUCCAGUUGGGGCCUGUGUUAACAGCACAGGGUACGGUUAUAAUGAGGUGGGAUAGUGCUGACCUUAGGUUGGUGCAGUUAUGGGCAAUCCGCAGCCAAGUCCCUAAGGCGCAACCGUGCUACGGGAAAGGUUCACAGACUAAGUGGAAGUGGGCUCGGGUUCUGAAACCUGGGCUUAAGAUAUAGUCGGGCCGUCCGCGAGAGCGGGUGGGAGUCACAAGCUGGUUGUGCUUGAACCGUUCCGUAGGUGAACCUGCGGAAGGAUCAUUA
RNAcentral lists this ribosomal RNA (431 nucleotides) under Arthrobotrys yunnanensis. RNAcentral's name for it is "partial 18S ribosomal RNA". The stretch from base 41 to 371 matches the Rfam family "Group I catalytic intron". From Rfam's summary of the family: Group I catalytic introns are large self-splicing ribozymes. Lineage: Eukaryota; Fungi; Ascomycota; Orbiliomycetes; Orbiliales; Orbiliaceae. The record is from RNAcentral.